GAAUCAACUAGCCCCAAAAAUGGAUGGCGCUUAAGCGCGCAACCUAUACCCGGCCGUCGGGGUAAGAGCCAGGCCCUGAUGAGUAGGAGGGCGGGGCGAUCGCUGCAAAACCCGAGGCGCAAGCUCGGGCGGAGCGGCCGUCGGUACAGAUCUUGGU
RNAcentral lists this non-coding RNA (157 nucleotides) under Gossypium arboreum. Its description in RNAcentral is "Eukaryotic large subunit ribosomal RNA". It matches the Rfam family "Eukaryotic large subunit ribosomal RNA", at positions 1299 to 1455 of the family's 3401-position model. The record is from Rfam by way of RNAcentral. Lineage: Eukaryota; Viridiplantae; Streptophyta; Magnoliopsida; Malvales; Malvaceae.